Long non-coding RNA from Eptesicus fuscus (big brown bat), 770 nucleotides. RefSeq lists it as uncharacterized. The transcript has 2 exons. NCBI's taxonomy places the organism in Eukaryota, Metazoa, Chordata, Mammalia, Chiroptera, Vespertilionidae. The record is from RefSeq and is a predicted model, not a curated record.
GAUUGGCUAUCUCCCAGACGCGCGUCGCGGAGAACGCCCGCUGCAUUUUGGGAGUUGUAGUCCGCGGUGCGCCAGCAGCGCUGUACCGGCCUAGGUCGCUCGAAGAACGGCUCUGCGCUGAGGCCUGGACUCCGGCCGGGCGGAGAUCUCACAGCGUCCCGCUGCUUGUUUUGUGUCGUCCUUGGAGCCAUGGUUACGUGAACCUGCCCUCCACGACGCUGCCCUGCCCCCGGCUGGCACGGUCACGUUUCCCAAUGCAGAUAUGGGAAGAUGGUGCCUCUGGAGAAGGCGUCAGCCCCCCCAGGACCUCCCCGACUCCCCCCGCACUGCCCGUGCCAGGAUGGCAGCGGGGGACCCGCCGGAGGACCCCGGGACCACCUGCAGGAGAACGCCUGCCGACCUGGACGUCUCCCACCUGCUCCGGAACUUCGCCCGCCAGGCCCUCGCCCAGCUCCACCAGCGGUGCCACCAGCGGCGGCAGCCCGAGGCGUGCUCCAAGGAGCAGAUGCUGGAGCUGGAUUCGCUCCUGAAGGUCCUGCCCAGCGAGGCCCAUCCGUCCCUGGGUGUUGGCGCACCUUCCCGAGAGCUGCGAGAAGGCGGCCCCCCUGGCGGAGGGCCUCCCCAAGGACAGGGAGGAGCCAGGUGAGGGGAGCAUGCCUCGGAGCAGGGGUGGGGAACCACCGGCCUGCGGGCCGAGGAAGACACGCAGAGUCAUUUGGUCUGCCCUGCCGAGGCGUGGGGUGAGUUAAUUAAACGGUGGACCAAAUACA